AAUAGAUACCCGGGUAGUCCACGCCGUAAACGAUGAAUGCUAAGUGUUAGAGGGGUUUCCGCCCUUUACGUGCUGCAGCUAACGCAUUAAGCACUCCGCCUGGGGAGUACGGCCGCAAGGCUGAAACUCAAAGGAAUUGACGGGGGCCCGCACAAGCGGUGGAGCAUGUGGUUUAAUUCGAAGCAACGCGAAGAACCUUACCAGGUCUUGACAUCCUCUGCCAACCCUAGAGAUAGGGCGUUCCCCUUCGGGGGACAGAGUGACAGGUGGUGCAUGGUUGUCGUCAGCUCGUGUCGUGAGAUGUUGGGUUAAGUCCCGCAACGAGCGCAACCCUUGAUCUUAGUUGCCAGCAUUCAGUUGGGCACUCUAAGGUGACUGCCGGUGACAAACCGGAGGAAGGUGGGGAUGACGUCAAAUCAUCAUGCCCCUUAUGACCUGGGCUACACACGUGCUACAAUGGAUGGUACAAAGAGCAGCGAACCCGCGAGGGUAAGCCAAUCUCAUAAAGCCAUUCUCAGUUCGGA
Molecule: ribosomal RNA, 524 nt
Filed under: uncultured bacterium
Lineage: Bacteria
Description: bacterial SSU rRNA
Rfam family: Bacterial small subunit ribosomal RNA
Source: RNAcentral